RNAcentral lists this long non-coding RNA (220 nucleotides) under Brassica rapa (field mustard). RNAcentral describes it as "long non-coding RNA (BRAP_LNC005210)". Lineage: Eukaryota; Viridiplantae; Streptophyta; Magnoliopsida; Brassicales; Brassicaceae. The record is from RNAcentral.
UUUUGUUUGUGUUACCAACUUAUUUUAUUUGAUUUUUGGUUAAUGUUUAGAUAUAUUUCUCAACAAUUACUUUUUAAGAAAAAAAUCACAGCCUUUAAAAAUUGUCUGAUGAUCCAAUUUUUGUUGUGUAACACGAGAGAAGCCAAACAGUGAUAGCAUGAUGGUAAAAGGAGAACUUGGGACAAAUCUUAAAUUUUUCAGUCAUGGAUUUGAAUUCCGC